This 644-nucleotide long non-coding RNA is filed under the name Ananas comosus (pineapple). Its description in RNAcentral is "long non-coding RNA (ACOM_LNC020697)". The record is from RNAcentral. Lineage: Eukaryota; Viridiplantae; Streptophyta; Magnoliopsida; Poales; Bromeliaceae.
CUAUUCAAAUAUUAUUUUUUCAUAUAAUUUACAACAAUUAAUAAUACUUCAAUAAAAAUUUUGCCACACAGCUUUCUACGAGAAAUAACACUCUAUAACAGAAUUAGCCAAACACUCUAUAACUUUUUUUUCACAGUACAAUAUUAUUUUUGGGUUAAUUGUAUACAGAUCCCUAUAAACAUAUUAAAUAGUAAAUAUAUUCCUACAAAAUUUAACUUUUCAUUUUUAUCCUACAAAAGUCUAAUGAUAUUUAUAUUGUCCAUCUGGUUUGUUAUCAUUAGAGCACGGUUUAUUUUUCAACAGCAAAAAAGUGAAAUAACAUUUUUGCCAUUACGAAUAUAUAUCCCUCCAAAAGUUCCAACUAUUAGAAUUAUACAGAAAUAUCCUCUCCAAAAAAUUUAUCCAAUAAUAUAAGAGGGAUAAAAAUAUCAAUUUAACUCAUUCACUAACCAGGAUUAAAUAUUUCACUUAUAGUUAACUAUAUUUUUCUACAGAAUCCUAACAGUAGGAAUAUAUUUGAAAACGUCAGAACUUUUACAAGAAUAAAAAUAAAAAUAAAAAAAUUAAACUUUAUAAAAAUAUAUCUGUUAUUUAAUAUGUUUACGAACAGAGUUGUAUGCAAUUAACCUAUUAUUUUUUACCAC